GGAAGUUUAAAAAAAUUCUUUUUUAAAAUUAAAAAUUGAAUUUUUUUUAAUUUGUGAAUAAACAAUUAUAAAAAUUAAAGACAAGAAGACCCUAAGAAUUUGAAGAUCAAAUAAAUAAAAAAUUUUUUAUUUAUUUGAUCUUGAUUGGGGCGAUCAAAAAAUAUUAAUAACUUUUUAAAUUAAAAUGAUCUAUUAAUAAUAAACUAAUGAAAUAAAUACUCUAGGGAUAACAGCGUAAUAAUUUUUGAUAGAUCUUAUAGACAAAAUAGUUUGCGACCUCGAUGUUGGAUUAGGAUUCUUAUUUAAUGAAGAUGUUAAAUAAAGAAGUU
Molecule: ribosomal RNA, 329 nt
Filed under: Hyalomma asiaticum asiaticum
Lineage: Eukaryota; Metazoa; Arthropoda; Arachnida; Ixodida; Ixodidae
Description: partial large subunit ribosomal RNA
Source: RNAcentral